GUCUACGGCCAUGCCACCCUGAAGGUGCCCAAUCUCGUCUGAUCUCGGAAGCUAAGCAAGGUCGGGCCUGGUUAGUACUUGGAUGGGAGACCACCUAGAAAUAAUGUCUACACACAGAUGCUGUAGACA
RNAcentral lists this ribosomal RNA (129 nucleotides) under Pteropus alecto (black flying fox). Lineage: Eukaryota; Metazoa; Chordata; Mammalia; Chiroptera; Pteropodidae. The record is from RNAcentral.